Molecule: non-coding RNA, 28 nt
Filed under: Mus musculus (house mouse)
Lineage: Eukaryota; Metazoa; Chordata; Mammalia; Rodentia; Muridae
Source: RNAcentral
UCCACUUUGCCUCCGUUUGGAGGGUAAC